CCUAGCGGCGGACGGGUGAGUAAUGCUUAGGAAUCUGCCUAUUAGUGGGGGACAACAUUCCGAAAGGAAUGCUAAUACCGCAUACGCCCUACGGGGGAAAGCAGGGGAUCUUCGGACCUUGCGCUAAUAGAUGAGCCUAAGUCAGAUUAGCUAGUUGGUGGGGUAAAGGCCUACCAAGGCGACGAUCUGUAGCGGGUCUGAGAGGAUGAUCCGCCACACUGGGACUGAGACACGGCCCAGACUCCUACGGGAGGCAGCAGUGGGGAAUAUUGGACAAUGGGCGAAAGCCUGAUCCAGCCAUGCCGCGUGUGUGAAGAAGGCCUUUUGGUUGUAAAGCACUUUAAGCGAGGAGGAGGCUACUUAGAUUAAUACUCUAGGAUAGUGGACGUUACUCGCAGAAUAAGCACCGGCUAACUCUGUGCCAGCAGCCGCGGUAAUACAGAGGGUGCGAGCGUUAAUCGGAUUUACUGGGCGUAAAGCGUGCGUAGGCGGCUUUUUAAGUCGGAUGUGAAAUCCCUGAGCUUAACUUAGGAAUUGCAUUCGAUACUGGGAAGCUAGAGUAUGGGAGAGGAUGGUAGAAUUCCAGGUGUAGCGGUGAAAUGCGUAGAGAUCUGGAGGAAUACCGAUGGCGAAGGCAGCCAUCUGGCCUAAUACUGACGCUGAGGUACGAAAGCAUGGGGAGCAAACAGGAUUAGAUACCCUGGUAGUCCAUGCCGUAAACGAUGUCUACUAGCCGUUGGGGCCUUUGAGGCUUUAGUGGCGCAGCUAACGCGAUAAGUAGACCGCCUGGGGAGUACGGUCGCAAGACUAAAACUCAAAUGAAUUGACGGGGGCCCGCACAAGCGGUGGAGCAUGUGGUUUAAUUCGAUGCAACGCGAAGAACCUUACCUGGUCUUGACUAGUAAGAACUUUCCAGAAUGGAUUGGUGCCUUCGGGAACUUACAUACAGGUGCUG
Molecule: ribosomal RNA, 955 nt
Filed under: Acinetobacter sp.
Lineage: Bacteria; Pseudomonadati; Pseudomonadota; Gammaproteobacteria; Moraxellales; Moraxellaceae
Description: bacterial SSU rRNA
Rfam family: Bacterial small subunit ribosomal RNA
Source: RNAcentral